GAUGAACGCUGGCGGCGUGCCUAAUACAUGCAAGUCGAGCGAACAGACGAGGAGCUUGCUCCUCUGACGUUAGCGGCGGACGGGUGAGUAACACGUGGAUAACCUACCUAUAAGACUGGGAUAACUUCGGGAAACCGGAGCUAAUACCGGAUAAUAUAUUGAACCGUAUGGUUCAAUAGUGAAAGACGGUUUUGCUGUCACUUAUAGAUGGAUCCGCGCCGCAUUAGCUAGUUGGUAAGGUAACGGCUUACCAAGGCGACGAUGCGUAGCCGACCUGAGAGGGUGAUCGGCCACACUGGAGCUGAGACACGGUCCAGACUCCUACGGGAGGCAGCAGUAGGGAAUCUUCCGCAAUGGGCGAAAGCCUGACGGAGCAACGCCGCGUGAGUGAUGAAGGUCUUCGGAUCGUAAAACUCUGUUAUUAGGGAAGAACAAAUGUGUAAGUAACUAUGCACGUCUUGACGGUACCUAAUCAGAAAGCCACGGCUAACUACGUG
RNAcentral lists this ribosomal RNA (497 nucleotides) under uncultured bacterium. RNAcentral's name for it is "partial 16S ribosomal RNA". It matches the Rfam family "Bacterial small subunit ribosomal RNA", at positions 28 to 507 of the family's 1533-position model. The record is from RNAcentral.